RNAcentral lists this ribosomal RNA (800 nucleotides) under uncultured bacterium. RNAcentral's name for it is "bacterial SSU rRNA". It matches the Rfam family "Bacterial small subunit ribosomal RNA", at positions 74 to 848 of the family's 1533-position model. The record is from RNAcentral.
GAGGCUUCGGCCUCUAAGUAGAGCGGCGGACGGGUGAGUAACACGUGGGUAACCUACCCUCGGGCGGGGAACAACUUCGGGAAACCGGGGCUAAUUCCGCAUGAUAUCUCGAAUUCACAAGUGUUUGAGAUCAAAGCUGGGGAUCCUUCGGGACCUGGCACCUGAGGAGGGGCCCGCGGACGAUUAGCUUGUUGGUGAGGUAAUGGCUCACCAAGGCUACGAUCGAUAGCCGGCCUGAGAGGGCGGACGGCCACACUGGGACUGAGACACGGCCCAGACUCCUACGGGAGGCAGCAGUGGGGAAUUUUUGUCAAUGGGGGAAACCCUGAACAAGCAACGCCGCGUGGAGGAUGAAGGCCUUCGGGUCGUAAACUCCUGUCAGAGGGGACGAAAGUGUCUGGGGUUAAUACCCCCAGGUAUUGACGGUACCCUACGAGGAAGCCCCGGCUAACUCCGUGCCAGCAGCCGCGGUAAUACGGGGGGGGCAAGCGUUGUUCGGAAUUACUGGGCGUAAAGGGCGCGUAGGCGGCUAGGCAAGUCCUUCGUGAAAUCCCACAGCUCAACUGUGGAACUGCGGAGGAAACUUCUUGGCUUGAGUCCGGGAGAGGGUAGUGGAAUUCCCAGUGUAGCGGUGAAAUGCGUAGAUAUUGGGAGGAACACCGGUGGCGAAGGCGGCUACCUGGACCGGUACUGACGCUGAGGCGCGAAAGCUAGGGGAGCAAACGGGAUUAGAUACCCCGGUAGUCCUAGCUGUAAACGUUGAGCACUUGGUGUGGCGGGUAUCGACCCCUGCCGUGCCG